This 497-nucleotide ribosomal RNA is filed under the name uncultured bacterium. RNAcentral describes it as "partial 16S ribosomal RNA". It matches the Rfam family "Bacterial small subunit ribosomal RNA", at positions 28 to 507 of the family's 1533-position model. The record is from RNAcentral.
GAUGAACGCUGGCGGCGUGCCUAAUACAUGCAAGUCGAGCGAACGGACGAGAAGCUUGCUUCUCUGAUGUUAGCGGCGGACGGGUGAGUAACACGUGGAUAACCUACCUAUAAGACUGGGAUAACUUCGGGAAACCGGAGCUAAUACCGGAUAAUAUUUUGAACCGCAUGGUUCAAAAGUGAAAGACGGUCUUGCUGUCACUUAUAGAUGGAUCCGCGCUGCAUUAGCUAGUUGGUAAGGUAACGGCUUACCAAGGCAACGAUGCAUAGCCGACCUGAGAGGGUGAUCGGCCACACUGGAACUGAGACACGGUCCAGACUCCUACGGGAGGCAGCAGUAGGGAGUCUUCCGCAAUGGGCGAAAGCCUGACGGAGCAACGCCGCGUGAGUGAUGAAGGUCUUCGGACCGUAAAACUCUGUUAUUAGGGAAGAACAUAUGUGUAAGUAACUGUGCACAUCUUGACGGUACCUAAUCAGAAAGCCACGGCUAACUACGUG